This is a long non-coding RNA of Gasterosteus aculeatus aculeatus (three-spined stickleback), 910 nucleotides long. NCBI's taxonomy places the organism in Eukaryota, Metazoa, Chordata, Actinopteri, Perciformes, Gasterosteidae. The record is from Ensembl.
CGUGUCUGAAAUCACACACAUCAGGUGUCUUUUUCUGAUCAAAUCAGCGUUUUACGCAAAUUGCGUUUUUGAUGAACAUUUCUCAUGACUCGCUUCUUCUUCUGUCCCGUGGUUCUUUUCCUUGGACCUUCUUCUACGCUGAAAUGACUCCAAUCUGACGCUGGCGUCUGGUGGAACCGUCCGGGUGCCGUCCCGUUUCCUUCAGCUCGGCCUGACGCGCCCACGUCCGUGUUCCCCGCUCGGCCGCUGCCCAGAUACGACCUGCAGCUGUUCGUAUCUUCCCUCCCCUCUUGGUGCAGAGGCGAGGCAGACGCCCCGAGGAGGAAUCGGGCCGAUGGCGGCUGCUCCCCGGACUCUCUGGUCAGAGAGAACAGCACCAACGGGCUCCAACCAGAGAAGAAGAAGAAGUGUGAGGCGCCGCUGCACAACGCAGAGUCUCUAGUCGGAGACGUGGACGCCUCACAGGUCCCCGACCGGCAGCUCCUCUGAGGGGAACCUGCUGAACGCCAGCGGGGCAAAGAAAGAGAGCGGCCAACACAACCAAACCAUUGAUCUGGGCAAAAGAACACCGACGUUCGGGAGAUUGGAAUCAACGUUUGAGGUGUUUGGAUCACACAGAAGAACAUUUGUGAGACGCCAAACGGGUGAGAAGAUGCUGGAGGAGUCCUGAUCCAAUCGGACUCGCGGGAGGUGCUUUUCUACAGGUGACCUCAACAAACGAACUGAUGCUGAACGUCUGCAAAGCUGGAACUGCUGCAAGAGUUUGAAGAACAAAAUGAAUAUAAAUAAAAAUGAUUAUUUCUAACCGUGUCAAUGUCUCGACUAUAUUUUAAAUUCAUUUUGCAGCUCAUUUGAUAAAUAAAAGUGUGAGUUUUCAGGGAAAACACAAAGUUGAACUUUUGAAUGGUAG